GAUGAAGAACGCAGCGAAAUGCGAUAAGUAAUGUGAAUUGCAGAAUUCAGUGAAUCAUCGAAUCUUUGAACGCACCUUGCGCCCGCCAGUAUUCUGGCGGGCAUGCCUGUUCGAGCGUCAUUACAACCCUCAGGCCCCCGGGCCUGGCGUUGGGGAUCGGCGGAAGCCCCCUGCGGGCACAACGCCGUCCCCCAAAUACAGUGGCGGUCCCGCCGCAGCUUCCAUUGCGUAGUAGCUAACACCUCGCAACUGGAGAGCGGCGCGGCCACGCCGUAAAACACCCAACUUCUGAAUGUUGACCUCGAAUCAGGUAGGAAUACCCGCUGAACUUAAGCAUAUCAAUAAGCGGAGGA
Molecule: unclassified non-coding RNA, 353 nt
Filed under: soil metagenome
Description: partial contains 5.8S ribosomal RNA, internal transcribed spacer 2, and large subunit ribosomal RNA
Rfam family: 5.8S ribosomal RNA (bases 1-120)
Source: RNAcentral